RNAcentral lists this small RNA (177 nucleotides) under Drosophila willistoni. RNAcentral's name for it is "GK27250". The record is from RNAcentral. Lineage: Eukaryota; Metazoa; Arthropoda; Insecta; Diptera; Drosophilidae.
GUUCGGUGGUAACUGGAGUAGUUUGACGGAUGGAACCUUGAGAAUCAAUCCAAUACUAAACCUUGAAGUCAAUAUUAAUCUUCAUGAAAAUCCGCACCCCUUUCAGAGAUAAAUGUGUUUUGGAAGAAUCUUGAGAAGAAAGCCGACCAUUUCUACAAAAUGUGGAAAAAGUUUUAA